RNAcentral lists this ribosomal RNA (531 nucleotides) under uncultured bacterium. Its description in RNAcentral is "bacterial SSU rRNA". It matches the Rfam family "Bacterial small subunit ribosomal RNA", at positions 777 to 1320 of the family's 1533-position model. The record is from RNAcentral.
AAUAGAUACCCCGGUAGUCCACGCCGUAAACGAUGGAUGCUAGCUGCUAGAAGUAUCGACCCUUCUAGUAGCGUAGCUAACGCGUUAAGCAUCCCGCCUGUGGAGUACGGUCGCAAGACUAAAACAUAAAGGAAUUGACGGGGACCCGCACAAGCGGUGGAGCGUGUUGUUUAAUUCGAUGAUAAGCGAAGAACCUUACCCAGGCUUGACAUCCCACUAAGGACUCCGAAAGGAGACUGUGUCUUCGGACCGUGGUGACAGGUGUUGCAUGGCCGUCGUCAGCUCGUGUCGUGAGAUGUUUGGUUAAGUCCAUCAACGAGCGCAACCCUUAUAGUUAGUUGUAUUUCUCUAGCUAGACUGCCCUGGCAACAGGGAGGAAGGAGGGGAUGAUGUCAGGUCAGUAUUACCCUUACGUCUGGGGCUACAAACACGCUACAAUGGCCGGUACAAAGGGCAGCCAACCCGCGAGGGGGUAGCAAAGUCCCAUCAAAGCCGGUCUCAGUUCGGAUUGCAGGCUGAAACUCGCCUGCA